RNAcentral lists this ribosomal RNA (457 nucleotides) under uncultured bacterium. RNAcentral describes it as "bacterial SSU rRNA". It matches the Rfam family "Bacterial small subunit ribosomal RNA", at positions 29 to 524 of the family's 1533-position model. The record is from RNAcentral.
AACGAACGCUGGCGGCAUGCCUAACACAUGCAAGUCGAACGGGAUCCUAGCUUGCUAGGUGAGAGUGGCGGACGGGUGAGUAACACGUGGGAAUCUGCCUUUUUGGUUCGGGAUAACCGCGGGAAACUGCGGCUAAUACCGAAUGCCCUCGAGAGAGGAAAGAUUUAUCGCCAGAAGAGGAGCCCGCGUCCGAUUAGGUAGUUGGUGGGGUAAAAGGCCUACCAAGCCGACGAUCGGUAGCUGGUCUGAGAGGAUGAUCAGCCACACUGGGACUGAGAUACGGCCCAGACUCCUACGGGAGGCAGCAGUGGGGAAUAUUGGACAAUGGGGGCAACCCUGAUCCAGCAAUGCCGCGUGAGUGAUGAAGGCCUUAGGGUGUAAAGCUCUUUUGCCAGGAGAUGAUGACUGUACCUGGAGAAUAAGCCCCGGCUAACUUCGUGCCAGCAGCCACGGUAAU